Molecule: ribosomal RNA, 220 nt
Filed under: uncultured bacterium
Lineage: Bacteria
Description: partial 16S ribosomal RNA
Rfam family: Bacterial small subunit ribosomal RNA
Source: RNAcentral
UAAUGUCUGGGAAACUGCCUGAUGGAGGGGGGUAACUACUGGAAACGGUAGCUAAUACCGCAUAACGCCGCAAGACCAAAGUGGGGGACCUUCGGGCCUCAUGCCAUCAGAUGUGCCCAGAUGGGAUUAGCUAGUAGGUGGGGUAACGGCUCACCUAGGCGACGAUCCCUAGCUGGUCUGAGAGGAUGACCAGCCACACUGGAGCUGAGACACGGUCCAG